Molecule: ribosomal RNA, 492 nt
Filed under: uncultured bacterium
Lineage: Bacteria
Description: partial 16S ribosomal RNA
Rfam family: Bacterial small subunit ribosomal RNA
Source: RNAcentral
AGUGAACGCUGGCGGUAGGCCUAACACAUGCAAGUCGAACGGCAGCACAGUAAGAGCUUGCUCUUACGGGUGGCGAGUGGCGGACGGGUGAGGAAUACAUCGGAAUCUACUUUUUCGUGGGGGAUAACGUAGGGAAACUUACGCUAAUACCGCAUACGACCUACGGGUGAAAGCAGGGGAUCUUCGGACCUUGCGCGAUUGAAUGAGCCGAUGUCGGAUUAGCUAGUUGGCGGGGUAAAGGCCCACCAAGUCGACGAUCCGUAGCUGGUCUGAGAGGAUGAUCAGCCACACUGGAACUGAGACACGGUCCAGACUCCUACGGGAGGCAGCAGUGGGGAAUAUUGGACAAUGGGCGCAAGCCUGAUCCAGCCAUACCGCGUGGGUGAAGAAGGCCUUCGGGUUGUAAAGACCUUUUGUUGGGAAAGAAAAGCAGCAGGUUAAUACCCCGCUGUUCUGACGGUACCCAAAGAAUAAGCACCGGCUAACUUCGUG